Molecule: transfer RNA, 77 nt
Filed under: Candidatus Bathyarchaeota archaeon
Lineage: Archaea; Thermoproteati; Candidatus Bathyarchaeota
Description: tRNA-Lys
Rfam family: tRNA
About the family: Transfer RNA (tRNA) molecules are approximately 80 nucleotides in length. Their secondary structure includes four short double-helical elements and three loops (D, anti-codon, and T loops).
Source: RNAcentral
GGGCCCGUAGCUCAGCAAGGAAGAGCAUCGGGCUUUUAACCCGGGGGUCGGGGGUUCGAUUCCCCCCGGGCCCGCCA